This 328-nucleotide ribosomal RNA is filed under the name uncultured Sphingobacteriales bacterium. RNAcentral's name for it is "bacterial SSU rRNA". It matches the Rfam family "Bacterial small subunit ribosomal RNA", at positions 568 to 898 of the family's 1533-position model. Lineage: Bacteria; Pseudomonadati; Bacteroidota; Sphingobacteriia; Sphingobacteriales. The record is from RNAcentral.
UGCGUAGGCGGGCAGGUAAGUCAGUGGUGAAAUCUCCGAGCUUAACUCGGAAACUGCCGUUGAUACUAUUUGUCUUGAAUAUUGUGGAGGUAAGCGGAAUAUGUCAUGUAGCGGUGAAAUGCUUAGAUAUGACAUAGAACACCAAUUGCGAAGGCAGCUUACUACACAAUGAUUGACGCUGAGGCACGAAAGCGUGGGGAUCAAACAGGAUUAGAUACCCUGGUAGUCCACGCCCUAAACGAUGAUUACUCGACAUACGCGAUACACUGUGUGUGUCUGAGCGAAAGCAUUAAGUAAUCCACCUGGGAAGUACGUUCGCAAGAAUGAA